UUCGGUUGAUCCUGCCGGAGGUCACUGCUAUUGGGAUUCGACUAAGCCAUGCGAGUCGAGAGGGUUCGGCCCUCGGCUGACGGCUCAGUAACACGUGGAUAAUCUGCCCUUAGGUGGAGGAUAAUCUCGGGAAACUGAGGAUAAUACUCCAUAGAUCUAGAAUGCUGGAAUGCAUCUAGAUUGAAAGCUCCGGCGCCUAAGGAUGAGUCUGCGGACUAUCAGGUUGUAGUCAGGGUAAAGACCUGACUAGCCUACGACGGAUACGGGUUGUGAGAGCAAUAACCCGGAGACGAUAUCUGAGACACGAUAUCGGGCCCUACGGGGCGCAGCAGGCGCGAAAACUUCACACUGUGCGAAAGCGCGAUGAGGGAAUCCCAAGUGUUUGCUCGUAAGAGUAAACUGUUUCUUUGUUUAAAACGCAGAGAGAGUAAGGGCUGGGUAAGACGGGUGCCAGCCGCCGCGGUAAUACCUGCAGCUCAAGUGGUGAUCAUUAUUAUUGGGCCUAAAACGUCCGUAGCCGGUUUAGUAAAUGCCUGGGUAAAUCGUGUAGCUUAACUAUACGACUUCCGGGUAGACUGCUAAACUUGAGACCGGGUGAGGCUAGAGGUACUCCUGGGGUAGAGGUGAAAUUCUGUAAUCCUAGGGGGACCACCAGUGGCGAAGGCGUCUAGCUAGAACGGGUCUGACGGUGAGGGACGAAGCCCUGGGGCACAAACCGGAUUAGAUACCCGGGUAGUCCAGGGUGUAAACGCUGCUUGCUUGAUGUUAGUUGGGCUCCGAGCCCAAUUAGUGUCGGAGAGAAGUUGUUAAGCAAGCUGCCUGGGAAGUACGGUCGCAAGGCUGAAACUUAAAGGAAUUGGCGGGGGAGCGCAGCAACGGGUGGAGCGUGCGGUUUAAUUGGAUUCAACGCCGGA
RNAcentral lists this ribosomal RNA (914 nucleotides) under uncultured archaeon. RNAcentral describes it as "bacterial SSU rRNA". It matches the Rfam family "Archaeal small subunit ribosomal RNA", at positions 1 to 922 of the family's 1478-position model. The record is from RNAcentral.